UUGGAGUAGAAAAACAUUUAUAUAUGAAUUCACACUUGACCCUGGAAUGACUAGGUGAGCCAUUGCUACAUUGCUAAGUGAAGCCAGUUAGAGGACAGGUUGCCUCUGGCCCAGCAGGAGCCUGUGCCCAUCAGCC
Molecule: long non-coding RNA, 136 nt
Organism: Trichechus manatus latirostris (Florida manatee)
Lineage: Eukaryota; Metazoa; Chordata; Mammalia; Sirenia; Trichechidae
Exons: 3
Source: RefSeq, a predicted model, not a curated record